Molecule: ribosomal RNA, 468 nt
Filed under: uncultured bacterium
Lineage: Bacteria
Description: partial 16S ribosomal RNA
Rfam family: Bacterial small subunit ribosomal RNA
Source: RNAcentral
GACGAACGCUGGCGGCGUGCUUAACACAUGCAAGUCGAACGGAAAGGCCCUGCUUUUGUGGGGUGCUCGAGUGGCGAACGGGUGAGUAACACGUGAGUAACCUGCCCUUGACUUUGGGAUAACUUCAGGAAACUGGGGCUAAUACCGGAUAGGAGCUCCUGCUGCAUGGUGGGGGUUGGAAAGUUUCGGCGGUUGGGGAUGGACUCGCGGCUUAUCAGCUUGUUGGUGGGGUAGUGGCUUACCAAGGCUUUGACGGGUAGCCGGCCUGAGAGGGUGACCGGCCACAUUGGGACUGAGAUACGGACCAGACUCCUACGGGAGGCAGCAGUGGGGAAUAUGGCACAAUGGGCGGAAGCCUGAUGCAGCAACGCCGCGUGCGGGAUGACGGCCUUCGGGUUGUAAACCGAUUUCGCAUGUGACGAAGCGUGAGUGACGGUAAUGGGUAAAGAAGCACCGGCUAACUACGUG